RNAcentral lists this ribosomal RNA (342 nucleotides) under Praeacanthonchus sp. PB-2006. Its description in RNAcentral is "SSU rRNA". It matches the Rfam family "Eukaryotic small subunit ribosomal RNA", at positions 88 to 433 of the family's 1831-position model. Lineage: Eukaryota; Metazoa; Nematoda; Chromadorea; Chromadorida; Cyatholaimidae. The record is from RNAcentral.
CGCGAAUGGCUCAUUACAACAGCCAUAGUUUAUUGGAUCUUCUCUCUACUUGGAUACCUGUGGUAAUUCUAGAGCUAAUACACGCACGAAAGCCCCGACUUCGGGAGGGGCGCAUUUAUUAGAACAAAACCAAUCGGGCUUGCCCGUCGUUUGGUGAAUCUGAAUAACUCAGUUGAUCGCACAGUCCUCGAACUGGCGACGUAUCUUUCAAGUGUCUGCCUUAUCAACUUUCGAUGGUAGUUUACAUGACUACCAUGGUUGUAACGGGUAACGGAGAAUAAGGGUUCGACUCCGGAGAGGGAGCCUGAGAAACGGCUACCACAUCCAAGGAAGGCAGCAGGC